This is a small nucleolar RNA of Castor canadensis (American beaver), 107 nucleotides long. Its record names the gene SNORA70. It matches the Rfam family "Small nucleolar RNA SNORA70". From Rfam's summary of the family: snoRNA U70 seems to be exclusive to mammals and is a member of the H/ACA class of snoRNA which contain H (ANANNA) and ACA box motifs. H/ACA box snoRNAs are involved in the conversion of uridines to pseudouridines (5-ribosyluracil) a constituent of structural RNAs (transfer, ribosomal, small nuclear, and small nucleolar). NCBI's taxonomy places the organism in Eukaryota, Metazoa, Chordata, Mammalia, Rodentia, Castoridae. The record is from Ensembl.
CUUCAGCCAAUUAAGCUGACCAGGUCCCUUUACUCAUGAGGACCCAGUAAGCAGUGCAUGCAACCUGUUGCUUGUGUGGGUUGCUCUAAGGGACCUUGGAGACAGUU